RNAcentral lists this ribosomal RNA (817 nucleotides) under Xiphinema robbinsi. Its description in RNAcentral is "eukaryotic LSU rRNA". It matches the Rfam family "Eukaryotic large subunit ribosomal RNA", at positions 351 to 949 of the family's 3401-position model. Lineage: Eukaryota; Metazoa; Nematoda; Enoplea; Dorylaimida; Longidoridae. The record is from RNAcentral.
CCGUGAGGGAAAGUUGAAAAGAACUUUGAAGAGAGAGUUCAAAAGGGCGUGAAACCGCUUAGAAUAAAACGGACGGAGCCGUCUGCGGCCCAUCGGAAUCAGUCGAGUCGACGCGUGAAAACGAGUACGACGCGAAUACGGAACGAAAGUCCGGUCGUCUCGUCGAAAUAAAGUAGCGCUCGUUCGAUGCAUUUCCGAAGGGUAAGCACCGCGACCGAUGUCGAAGGCUAGUAUAACCGUCGGAUUGAGGUCGAGCUCGUUUACUCGAGUCUCGUAACCAGUCCUUCGGCGAUCGCUAGACCCUAGCAUCGAGAAUAUAUAUAUAAAAGAACGUCGGUGAAAAUAACACUCACCAGUUUCGACGGAAGUACGGCUAUUCGAUCGUCGCCUGCUCGCAGGUUACGGUUAGUAAUCGAGUUCGUAUCCGAAGUCGUCGGUGACGUAUCGACGUUCGGGCGUCCGCGGUGUCCGAGUCGGUCACCCGUCCGACCCGUCUUGAAACACGGACCAAGGAGUCUAACGUAAGCGCGAGCUAAUGGGCGGAAAACCCAUAAGCGAAAUAAAAGUAAAAGCCGUUUCGGACGGCCGAGGUACGAUACCGACGAAAAUAUAUUUUCGGUCGCAGUACCGUCCCGUCCCGACCGCUCGUCGGUAGGGCGGAGACAGAGUGCAUACGUUGGGACCCGAAAGAUGGUGAACUAUGCCUGAGCAGAGCGAAGCCAGAGGAAACUCUGGUGGAGGUUCGUAGCGGUUCUGACGUGCAAAUCGAUCGUCAGACUUGGGUAUAGGGGCGAAAGACUAAUCGAACCAUCUAGUA